GUGGGUGGGAACAGGAAAUAAAGAAAGCAAGAUACACAAUGUAGCAUCAUAUGAAAUGAACAUCAUUUAUUGAAGUACCUUGUAGAAGCUGUAGCGAUUUUAUCUUCUAUUUUAUUUUUUUUAAGAAAAAUGUUAAGGUGCCUCUGGAUUCUUUUGCUACAUAUUAUUUCAUGUCUGUCCCAGUUGGUGGAGGUGACCCAGGAUAAAUUCCUUAUAGUUCAGUCUGGGAAAUCUGUGGAACUUAAAUGUCGUCACACACAGACCAGCUAUUUAUCAAUGUUCUGGUACCAGCAAAAAGGACAGCAAGGGCUGAAGCUUAUGGUUUACUCAACAGCUGCUGGUGAUAACAGUAAAAUGGAGGAGGGGUUCGGGUCCUGGGCUCUGAACAGGCCUGAUGUACUCAACUCCACUCUGACACUGUCAAAGUCCAGUGCCGAGGACUCCGCCGUCUACUUCUGUGCAAUCAGCCAACACAGUUGGAAAUGUCAGUGCAGAUGUCAGCACAUAACCUUACUGGGAGUCAGCGUCAGUUCUAAAUGAUACCUGGAGGGGGAGCUGUUCAUUAUAGCAUUUAUUAUUAUUGUUUUCUAGUUUGUUAUAUAAUGGAUGUUGAGCAGAAACUGGUGCAAAUAUUAUUAUUUUUUCUUUGUUCAGGUUACAGGUCAAGCUGCUAAUAGCAAUAGCGAUUGUCAGUGGUAAUUGU
Non-coding RNA from Rana temporaria (common frog), 703 nucleotides. Lineage: Eukaryota; Metazoa; Chordata; Amphibia; Anura; Ranidae. The record is from the annotation of a RefSeq genome assembly.